Molecule: ribosomal RNA, 611 nt
Filed under: uncultured bacterium
Lineage: Bacteria
Description: bacterial SSU rRNA
Rfam family: Bacterial small subunit ribosomal RNA
Source: RNAcentral
AGGGUUUGAUCAUGGCUCAGAUUGAACGCUGGCGGCAGGCCUAACACAUGCAAGUCGAACGGUAACAGGAAGUGCUUGCACUUCGCUGACGAGUGGCGGACGGGUGAGUAAUGCUUGGGAACUUGCCUUUGCGAGGGGGAUAACAGUUGGAAACGACUGCUAAUACCGCAUAAUGUCUACGGACCAAACGGGGCUUAGGCUUCGGCGCAAAGAGAGGCCCAAGUGAGAUUAGCUAGUUGGUAAGGUAAAGGCUUACCAAGGCAACGAUCUCUAGCUGUUCUGAGAGGAAGAUCAGCCACACUGGAACUGAGACACGGUCCAGACUCCUACGGGAGGCAGCAGUGGGGAAUAUUGCACAAUGGGGGAAACCCUGAUGCAGCCAUGCCGCGUGUGUGAAGAAGGCCUUCGGGUUGUAAAGCACUUUCAGUUGUGAGGAAAAGUUAGUAGUUAAUACCUGCUAGCCGUGACGUUAACAACAGAAGAAGCACCGGCUAACUCCGUGCCAGCAGCCGCGGUAAUACGGAGGGUGCGAGCGUUAAUCGGAAUUACUGGGCGUAAAGCGCACGCAGGCGGUUUGUUAAGCUAGAUGUGAAAGCCCCGGGCUCAACCUG